RNAcentral lists this unclassified non-coding RNA (223 nucleotides) under Zasmidium angulare. RNAcentral's name for it is "partial internal transcribed spacer region". The stretch from base 1 to 46 matches the Rfam family "Eukaryotic small subunit ribosomal RNA", at positions 1786 to 1831 of the family's 1831-position model. Lineage: Eukaryota; Fungi; Ascomycota; Dothideomycetes; Mycosphaerellales; Mycosphaerellaceae. The record is from RNAcentral.
AAGUCGUAACAAGGUCUCCGUAGGUGAACCUGCGGAGGGAUCAUUACCGAGUGAGGGUCUUCGGGCCCGACCUCCAACCCUUUUGUGAACCACCUCGUUGCUUCGGGGGCGACCCUGCCGUUCGCGGCGUGGGGCCCCCGGAGCCCCUCAAACCCUGCGUAACUAAGUCGUCGGAGUUUAAACAAAUUAAACAAAACUUUCAACAACGGAUCUCUUGGUUCGG